UACGUAGGGGGCAAGCGUUGUCCGGAUUUAUUGGGCGUAAAGCGCUCGCAGGUGGUUCGAUGCGUCGUGCGUGAAAGACCCCGGCUCAACUGGGGAGGGUCGUGCGAUACGGUCGGACUGGAGGCCAGUAGGGGGAUGCGGAAUUCCGGGUGUAGUGGUGGAAUGCGUAGAGAUCCGGAGGAACACCAGCGGCGAAGGCAGCUCGCUGGGACGUGACUGACGCUGAGACGCGAAAGCGUGGGGAGCAAACAGG
RNAcentral lists this ribosomal RNA (253 nucleotides) under uncultured bacterium. Its description in RNAcentral is "partial 16S ribosomal RNA". It matches the Rfam family "Bacterial small subunit ribosomal RNA", at positions 524 to 776 of the family's 1533-position model. The record is from RNAcentral.